Molecule: ribosomal RNA, 253 nt
Filed under: uncultured bacterium
Lineage: Bacteria
Description: partial 16S ribosomal RNA
Rfam family: Bacterial small subunit ribosomal RNA
Source: RNAcentral
UACGGAGGGUGCAAGCAUUAAUCGGAUUUAUUGGGCGUAAAGGACGCGUAGGCGGCUUUGUAAGUCUUUAGUGAAAUCCCCGAGCUUAACUUGGGAAUUGCUUAGGAUACUGCAUAGCUAGAGUGUGGGAGAGGCAAGUGGAAUCUUUGGUGUAGAGGUGAAAUUCUUAGAUAUCAGAGAGAACGUCAGUGGCGAAAGCGACUUGCUAGAACACAACUGACGCUGAGGCGUGAAGGCGUGGGGAGCAAAAGGG